This 22-nucleotide small nuclear RNA is filed under the name Arabidopsis thaliana (thale cress). Its description in RNAcentral is "snRNA_05993". Lineage: Eukaryota; Viridiplantae; Streptophyta; Magnoliopsida; Brassicales; Brassicaceae. The record is from RNAcentral.
CGACCACUAACGAGUGGAAACU